Molecule: long non-coding RNA, 620 nt
Organism: Oncorhynchus tshawytscha (Chinook salmon)
Lineage: Eukaryota; Metazoa; Chordata; Actinopteri; Salmoniformes; Salmonidae
Source: Ensembl
GGGAUGUUCUCUGUUUAGUGAGUCCUCCAGAUCAGAGGCAGUAGGGAUGACCGGGGAUGUUCUCUGUUUAGUGAGUCCUCCAGAUCAGAGGCAGUAGGGAUGACCGGGGAUGUUCUCUGUUUAGUGAGUCCUCCAGAUCAGAGGCAGUAGGGAUGACCGGGGAUGUUCUCUGUUUAGUGAGUCCUCCAGAUCAGAGGGCAUAGGGAUGACCAGGGAUGUUCUCUGUUUAAUGAGUCCUCCAGAUCAGAGGCAGUAGGGAUGACCAGGGAUGUUCUCUGUUUAGUGAGUCCUCCAGAUCAGAGGCAGUAGGGAUGACCAGGGAUGUUCUCUGUUUAGUGAGUCCUCCAGAUCAGAUGCAGUAGGGAUGACCAGGGAUGUUCUCUGUUUAGUGAGUCCUCCAGAUCAGAGGCAGUAGGGAUGACCAGGGAUGUUCUCUGUUUAAUGAGUCCUCCAGAUCAGAGGCAGUGGGGAUGACCAGGGAUGUUCUCCGUUUAAUGAGUCCUCCAGAUCAGAGGCAGUAGGGAUGACCAGGGAUGUUCUCUGUUUAGUGAGUCCACCAGAUCAGAGGCAGUAGGGAUGACCAGGGAUGUUCUCUGUUUAGCGAAUCCUCCAGAUCAGAG